Hippocampus comes (tiger tail seahorse) is the source of this 158-nucleotide long non-coding RNA. RefSeq lists it as uncharacterized. The record is from RefSeq and is a predicted model, not a curated record. Lineage: Eukaryota; Metazoa; Chordata; Actinopteri; Syngnathiformes; Syngnathidae. The transcript is spliced from 2 exons.
CUUCAUGAAACAAAACAUAUCCAUGUUAGAAAAAAACGUAACCUCAUCUGUGACUGACAUGGCCCAAUAGAUCGAUUUAAAGAUGAAAUGUUUUAUUUGUACCACAGAAUUGAUUCACAAUAUGCAAGAAUGAAACGGCAGACAUGACCAAAGAGGAC